Pantherophis guttatus is the source of this 805-nucleotide long non-coding RNA. RefSeq lists it as uncharacterized. Lineage: Eukaryota; Metazoa; Chordata; Lepidosauria; Squamata; Colubridae. The record is from RefSeq and is a predicted model, not a curated record.
CUCCUACACCUCUUUACAACACGGGGGAAGGGGGUGUCGGGCAAGACUUUGGGUCUGCCGAAGGCACCGAAGCAGCUCCUGCCGAGUAUCAAAAGACGCUACACAAUAUGGGCGAAGUUGUGAAUCCGCACAAGAAGGGCAAGCGAAUUGCAGUGAGAAUGGAAAAUAAACUGAUCGGGAAUAGCAUAGAAAAUUUAAAAAGAAGGGGAAAAAACGAGUUAAUGAUAUAUGCUGACUGUAAUGGAGUGGCGGACAUGAUAAUGAAACUCGGAAACGCUUUCAAAAAUGAUGAAUUUUGUUGAGUUGGUGUAGUUUAAUAGUUAAGGUAUUCAGUGAGAACCAGAUUCAGGUGCCAUCUCUCCUUAAAAAUCACGAGGUGACUUGGGGCCAGUUUUAGUCAGCUCAAUCUGUCCAACCGAAUGGAUAUGGAAAUUAAAUGGAGAUCCAAAUAUGUCAAUUUCUGGCCCAUAGGAUGAUGAUGAAGAUGACAACUCAAAAAAGUGGAGAGUCCCCAAGCAACAAUAUUUUAAAAAAGCCAUGAUUGAAAUAAUAACAGUGAGAUCGGUUGGGAUUCACACUUGAAUAUAGGGACCAUGAUGAAGGCCUUGCAAGAAAAUCACAAAUUUAAAAAUAAAGCCAUGUUCAUUUAACUACUCUAGGAAAACAUAUUUCAAAACAUGAAACCAAUAAAAGUGUAUGCAUUCUCCAAAUAACUUCUAGAUGAUGGAACACAGGUAUGUUGACCUGCAAGGUAAUCUGUAAAUUAGGCAUUCUGGCUUCAAUAAACUACUGUGGUGUGACUGUG